UUUAAAUCACAAUGCCUAACUUCUUUGAAUUCCAAACCCUUUACUAGACUUAACACUUUUGUAUCCCCCUUAGGACUCUAAACUCUUACUCUCAUU
RNAcentral lists this small RNA (96 nucleotides) under Arabidopsis thaliana (thale cress). RNAcentral's name for it is "ATSL202910". Lineage: Eukaryota; Viridiplantae; Streptophyta; Magnoliopsida; Brassicales; Brassicaceae. The record is from RNAcentral.